This 3432-nucleotide long non-coding RNA is filed under the name Sus scrofa (pig). Its description in RNAcentral is "lncRNA (ENSSSCG00025046311.1)". Lineage: Eukaryota; Metazoa; Chordata; Mammalia; Artiodactyla; Suidae. The record is from RNAcentral.
GAGGGUGGAGGUGAGAGGCAGGAAUGGGAACUGGGUACCAAGUAGCAGUAGCAGAAACAGCAAAGGCAAAUAAUUCUGAAUGUGGCUAGUUUUGUUUUAGAGACAGUGAAGAGUUUGGCGUAGGUGCUGGGGAGAGCCCGGAAGUUGGAGCAGACUUUUAGGAGCUCAGUCUUGAGGAGCCGUUGAUGCUAGAUUUAGAAGUUUAGCAUUUGUCCAAUGAGCUAAGGAUUUUAAGCAAGAGAGAGACACAGAGUGUGAGGUGCUGGUUAUGGCAUGUCAGAUGCUUUGUAAGUGGGGAGAUCAAGGCCAGGAACAGAGCUCAGAGAAAGUUAAGGUGUGAGAUGAUGAAGCAGGGCUGAGGAGAUGGAGAGAAGGGAACAGAUUAAAGAGAGAUUUAGGAGAGAGAACUAUGACUAAUUGGUUAUGAAUCAGUGGCUCAAUCCAGGGGACAGGAUGUUUUCAACUCCUUAAAGUAUAUAUAGGAGUUCUCAUCGUGGCUCAGCGGAAACGAAUCUGACUAGCAUCCAUGAGGACACAGGUUUGAUCCCUGGCCUCACUCAGUGGGUUAAGGAUCCAACCGGCGUUGCCAUAAGCUGUGGUGUAGGUUGCAGACAUGCCUCGGAUCUGGUGUGGCUAUGGCAUAGGCCAGCAGCUAUAGCUCCAAAUCGACCCCUAGCCUGGGUUUGUCCAUAUGCUGUGGGUGCAGGCCCUGAAAAGACUACGUAAAUAAAUAAAUAAAAAUAAAGUAUGUACAUUCUUCAUCUAUAGGAUGGACUGAGCCUUCCAGUCUUGUUGGUAGGAACGAAGGGAUAGGUGGUCUGGUUGUUGCCACAACAGUGUUUUUAUGAUACCUUCUUUUGUCUGCUUUUCUACCUAAGGGAGAGUCUGAAGCAGCAGUUACUUAUUAGGCCCCAGGUGCCAGGAAAAGUCCACCAUGUUAACAAGAAACAAAAGAAGCUAUUUCUAGUGUAGCACGAAAUUCGCAAUAAGAUAUCAUGACCCAGAGUUCUCUGUGCAGGUUCCCCUCUUCCAGGAUGAGUGCCAGGUGACGUGUAUCAGAUGCCCGUUGGUGAGAUUUGAGGCGGACCCCAGACCUUAACACCCCUCUGGCUGAGUCCCCUCACAUGGUAGCAGGUAAGGUAUCGUCAGUCCCAUGUUGUAGCUGUGGCAGCUGAGCCUCAGAAGUUAUGUGGCUUGUUCAAGGGGACCCAGUUUGGGAUGGGACUGGGAGUGAGGGGCUCUUGGCCAGGGUCUUUCCAACGGGACUUUGCCUUUUUUGCUUCCUCUGCACAGGUGCUUUUCCUUAAAUCCUGGCUUAAGUGGCUCCUUCUUGUAAUUCAGAUGUUUCCUCCUCAGAUGACAUCCCCACCUGAUCACAUUAUCCUGUGUAUUUUCUUCCUAGCACUUACUAGUAUCUGAAAGUAUUCAUUAUAUUUGUCUGUUUCCCUUCACCAGAGUGGGAACUUCAUGAAAACAGGGGCAGUUCUGUCUUGGUCACCAUUUUACCCCCAGCAGCUGGAAUAGUAGAUACUUGAUAAGAUUUGCUGACUGAUGGAAGUAAGCUGGGGAGGGAGGAAGGGAAGGAAACCAAUGUUAGGUGAAAGCUUAGCCUGUUUCAGGUACUUCCCUAAAACGAUCUCAUUCGAUCCCCUCACAGCCUUUCAGGGUGGGUACUGCAUCUCCAUUGGGUGGAUAACAAGCUGAGUGAGGGCAUCAGCGUUUUGUUGGUUUUGCCGCCAUAGACUUCUUUGAGAAUCUCCAUUAGAGCCAAACUUUUUGCAAAUCACGUGGAGGAAUUUGAAGACCUCUUUGGGCCCACGCAGGGAUCCCAGAUAAGGGGACCCAGGAUUAAAGAAUUGCCUGAGGUCUUUCUGGCCUCAAGGCUUUGCCGGUCCCUCACUCCAAUGGCAAGUGUGGAUAACAGGAGUUUGUGAUGCACUGAGCCUUUGAUGUCUCUGCCCCGAGUUCAAAUCCUGACUCAGACUAGCGGUGUGACUAUGGGCUGGACUUCUCACCUCUCUGAAUCCCAGUUUCUUUGCUUUCAAAAUGGAAUCUUUUUUUUCCUCUAACAAUAACUAAUAUUUAUUUGAUCUUCUUAUUAAGUGCCCAGUACUUGGCUGAUGUCUUUACAGGUGUUCUCUCACUGUUACCAUAAGGUUGGUACUCUUACCAUCUCCCUUAUGCAGCUGGGGGCUGGGAAGUUCACUGUCAGCCAUUGUGCUCCUUACACACACAGUGUAAUGGGAUGUGCCAUGAGCUCAGCCUGCCCAAAGCUGACUUCUGAAUCUGUUGCAAACCCUGUUCUUAGGGUUUGUGGGAACAUUUGAGUCUGAACCAGGUUAAAAAAAGACAUGGAUGGCUGCAGAGCAGUAUGAAUGGAGGCCAGUCUCUUAACUCUGUAUGUCCCCUUUCCCCCUGUGAGGGCUUCUUGCCAAGCCGAGACGGAGCCUCUUAACUGGAACAUCUAUGUCGUCCCAGGGUCUGCUUUGCACAGGGUCUGCAUUUGUGUACGUGGCUGCUGUCUCUUUUUAGCAGUGACAUCACUCUGCCUGGAAUUAUGAGGCUGUCUCCCCACCUGGCUGGCGGCCACUGCUUGGCCAUUCCGAAUGGAAUUCCUCUGUCUUCUAGCCCCUAGCACAGGCCUGGCCCAGCAGUGCUGCUCAGGAAAUGCCUUUGGAAUCAAAGGGAGGACUCUUCCAUGUGUUGAGGAUUUACUGUGUGCCAGGCUUGUCCCGGACACUUUAUAUGUGUUAUCUCAUUUACACGGACCAGUAAUCCUGGGAGGGAGAAGUCACUGUCCCAAUUUUACUGAGAAGCAGCAGCCUCAGUUGGGCUUUGCCUUAGGUUCACUUGUCAUAAUUGACGGCCCAGGACCCACUCCAGGGCUUGUGCUGUCAUCGUGCCAUGAUGACUUCUAGAAGCCUUGGGCUGCUCAAUCCCUCAAUACCUGGGAUCCUCAGAGACUAUAACAACUUCUAGUCCAGCUCUCAUUUCAUCCAUGAGGAAGCAGAAGCCAAGGAAGGAGAGAUGACUGACUGACGGCCCCUCUUUUCCACUUACUACUUAUCCACUUACUUUGGGGCAGGAUGAGGUCCAGUUUUACUCACCAUAGCAGCAUCCAGGUAGCCCAGUUCCUGGUCCAGGUUGGACCCUCAGUAAAUGCUUUUACAUUUUUAUUAUGAAAACAUUGAGAAAAAGUAUAAGGAUUAGUAUGACAGACAUCCAUAUACCCACCACUUAGCUCAUGAAAUAAAACACUGCUGCUUUAACUGAAGGCCCUGGGGUGCCCCUCAACAACUGCGCCCCUCCCCCCACAAAACUGAGAGUCUUCUGAAUUUGAUUCUUAUUAUUCUAUGCAGGGUUUUUGUUUGUUUUUUUUUUUUGUCUUUUUUUGUUUUUUUAUGACCACAUUCAAAGCAUAUGGAAGUUCCC